Molecule: long non-coding RNA, 212 nt
Organism: Dermacentor andersoni
Lineage: Eukaryota; Metazoa; Arthropoda; Arachnida; Ixodida; Ixodidae
Source: RefSeq, a predicted model, not a curated record
UGGACUGCCUCGAUAGAGAUAUCCAAAAUAAGAGUGCUGGUGUGUACACGAUUGCGAAACUUCCUCCUUCAUUCGGAGCAGCGUUUUCAAGGCUCUUGGGAUGUAUUAGGGACAACUUCGGGGACACUCCGUACGAGGUUUUAACAGACAGCAGAGCUGUGGCCAUAAAGGCGAUUCAUACUUUGGGUUGGACAUAAAAAGCCAAAGCCAAU